UACGAACCGUACAAACGUUAUUCGGAAUCACUGGGCUUAAAGGGUGCGUAGGCGGCCAUGUAAGUGAGGUGUGAAAUCCCUCGGCUCAACUGAGGAACUGCACGGGAAACUGCCUGGCUUGAGUUCGGGAGAGGGAAGCGGAAUUCCGGGUGUAGCGGUGAAAUGCGUAGAUAUCAGGAGGAACACCAAUUGCGAAGGCAGCUCGCUGGGACGUUACUGACGCUGAGACGCGAAAGCGUGGGGAGCAAACAGG
Molecule: ribosomal RNA, 253 nt
Filed under: uncultured bacterium
Lineage: Bacteria
Description: partial 16S ribosomal RNA
Rfam family: Bacterial small subunit ribosomal RNA
Source: RNAcentral